AAGUCGUAACAAGGUUUCCGUAGGUGAACCUGCGGAAGGAUCAUUACUGUGAUUUACUACUACACUGCGUGAGCGGAACGAAAACAACAACACCUAAAAUGUGGAAUAUAGCAUAUAGUCGACAAGAGAAAUCUACGAAAAAACAAACAAAACUUUCAACAACGGAUCUCUUGGUUCUCGCAUCGAUGAAGAGCGCAGCGAAAUGCGAUACCUAGUGUGAAUUGCAGCCAUCGUGAAUCAUCGAGUUCUUGAACGCACAUUGCGCCCCUCGGCAUUCCGGGGGGCAUGCCUGUUUGAGCGUCGUUUCCAUCUUGCGCGUGCGCAGAGUUGGGGGAGCGGAGCGGACGACGUGUAAAGAGCGUCGGAGCUGCGACUCGCCUGAAAGGGAGCGAAGCUGGCCGAGCGAACUAGACUUUUUUUCAGGGACGCUUGGCGGCCGAGAGCGAGUGUUGCGAGACAACAAAAAGCUCGACCUCAAAUCAGGUAGGAAUACCCGCUGAACUUAA
Molecule: ribosomal RNA, 506 nt
Filed under: uncultured fungus
Lineage: Eukaryota; Fungi
Description: eukaryotic LSU rRNA
Rfam family: 5.8S ribosomal RNA (bases 151-303)
Source: RNAcentral